UACGUAGGGUGCGAGCGUUGUCCGGAAUUACUGGGCGUAAAGAGCUCGUAGGCGGUCUGUCGCGUCGGAUGUGAAAACUCGGGGCUCAACCCCGAGCCUGCAUUCGAUACGGGCAGACUAGAGUUCGGUAGGGGAGACUGGAAUUCCUGGUGUAGCGGUGAAAUGCGCAGAUAUCAGGAGGAACACCGGUGGCGAAGGCGGGUCUCUGGGCCGAUACUGACGCUGAGGAGCGAAAGCGUGGGGAGCGAACAGG
Molecule: ribosomal RNA, 253 nt
Filed under: uncultured bacterium
Lineage: Bacteria
Description: partial 16S ribosomal RNA
Rfam family: Bacterial small subunit ribosomal RNA
Source: RNAcentral